GCCUGACCCAGCAACGCCGCGUGAAGGAUGAAAUCCCUCGGGAUGUAAACUUCGCAAGAACGGGAAGAAUAAGUAAGAGUUAACAUCUCUUAUGAUGACGGUACUGUUUGUAAGCUCCGGCUAACUCCGUGCCAGCAGCCGCGGUAAUACGGGGGGAGCAAGCGUUGUUCGGAUUUACUGGGCGUAAAGGGCGCGUAGGCGGCCACCGCAAGUCGACUGUGAAAUCUCCGGGCUUAACCCGGAACGGUCAGCCGAUACUGCGGGGCUAGAGUGCAGAAGGGGCAACUGGAAUUCUCGGUGUAGCGGUGAAAUGCGUAGAUAUCGAGAGGAACACCUGCGGCGAAGGCGGGUUGCUGGGCUGACACUGACGCUGAGGCGCGAAAGCUAGGGGAGCGAACGGGAUUAGAUACCCCGGUAGUCCUAGCCUUAAACGAUGAAUGCUUGGUGUCUGGGGUUUUAUAGUCCCCGGGUGCCGUCGCUAACGCUUUAAGCAUUCCGCCCGGGGAGUACGGUCGCAAGACUG
Molecule: ribosomal RNA, 523 nt
Filed under: uncultured Acidobacteriota bacterium
Lineage: Bacteria; Pseudomonadati; Acidobacteriota
Description: bacterial SSU rRNA
Rfam family: Bacterial small subunit ribosomal RNA
Source: RNAcentral